GUUAGAGCGAAAGCAUGGGGGAGCGAACAGGAUUAGAUACCCUGGUAGUCCAUGCCGUAAAACGUUGGGCAGUAGGUGUUGGGGGACAUUCCACGUUUUCCGCGCCGUAGCUAACGCAUUAAGUGCCCCGCCUGGGGAGUACGGCCGCAAGGCUAAAACUCAAAGGAAUUGACGGGGGCCCGCACAAGCGGCGGAGCAUGCGGAUUAAUUUGAUGCAACGCGAAGAACCUUACCAAGGCUUGACAUAUACCGGAUCGUUCCAGAGAUGGUUCUUCCCCUUUGGGGUCGGUAUACAGGUGGUGCAUGGUUGUCGUCAGCUCGUGUCGUGAGAUGUUGGGUUAAGUCCCGCAACGAGCGCAACCCUCGUUCCAUGUUGCCAGCACGUGAUGGUGGGGACUCAUGGGAGACUGCCGGGGUCAACUCGGAGGAAGGUGGGGAUGACGUCAAAUCAUCAUGCCCCUUAUGUCUUGGGCUUCACGCAUGCUACAAUGGCCGGUACAAAGGGUUGCGAUACUGUGAGGUGGAGCUAAUCCCAAAAAGCCGGUCUCAGUUCGGAUUGAGGUCUGCAACUCGACCUCAUGAAGUCGGAGUCGCUAGUAAUCGCAGAUCAGCAACGCUGCGGUGAAUACGUUCCCGGGCCUUGUACACACCGCCCGUCAAGUCACGAAAGUCGGUAACACCCGAAGCCGGUGGCCCAACCCUUGUGGAGGGAGCCGUCGAAGGUGGGACUGGCGAUUGGAC
RNAcentral lists this ribosomal RNA (741 nucleotides) under Kocuria palustris. Its description in RNAcentral is "bacterial SSU rRNA". It matches the Rfam family "Bacterial small subunit ribosomal RNA", at positions 747 to 1481 of the family's 1533-position model. Lineage: Bacteria; Bacillati; Actinomycetota; Actinomycetes; Micrococcales; Micrococcaceae. The record is from RNAcentral.